GCGGAGAUCGCAUAACCUGGUAGUGCGCAAGCCUGGAAAGCUUGUGGUCCGAAAGGGCCUUGUGGGUUCAAAUCCCACUCUCCGCG
Molecule: transfer RNA, 86 nt
Filed under: Microcaldota archaeon
Lineage: Archaea; Nanobdellati; Microcaldota
Also listed under: 1 other name
Description: Candidatus Micrarchaeota archaeon (hot springs metagenome) tRNA-Ser
Rfam family: tRNA
About the family: Transfer RNA (tRNA) molecules are approximately 80 nucleotides in length. Their secondary structure includes four short double-helical elements and three loops (D, anti-codon, and T loops).
Source: RNAcentral